RNAcentral lists this long non-coding RNA (227 nucleotides) under Bos taurus (domestic cattle). Its description in RNAcentral is "long non-coding RNA NONBTAT001413". Lineage: Eukaryota; Metazoa; Chordata; Mammalia; Artiodactyla; Bovidae. The record is from RNAcentral.
UGUUUAUCAGGGAGCCAGUUAUGAGCCUGCCAAACAGCUGGUUCAUCAGUUAGAUAAAAGGGCAUUUGGGGUGAGACUAUAUGGAGACAGAAUGUCUCUUCUUGUUACAUCUUGAAGACAGUGUAGGUAGGUGAAGAGAAGACUUGACUCCUAGGCCACAAGAGGGAGCUUCAGCUUGCUGGGAAAGAGGCCUCAUCUGUGCAUAGUAACUGGCUUCUCCGUUUACU